UCUGCAUCUAAGGAUAUGGUCA
RNAcentral lists this microRNA (22 nucleotides) under Mus musculus (house mouse). Its description in RNAcentral is "mmu-miR-1950". The record is from miRBase by way of RNAcentral. Lineage: Eukaryota; Metazoa; Chordata; Mammalia; Rodentia; Muridae.